ACACGCAUGACACACUGCAUAUCAAUAAGCGGAGGAAAAGAAACUAACAAGGAUUCCCUUAGUAACGGCGAGUGAAGCGGGAAGAGCUCAAAUUUGAAAUCUUCAAGGUUCUACCUUGACGAAUUGUAGUUUAUAGAAGUGUUUUCUGUUAGUGGAGUGGCAAAAGUUCUUUGGAAUAGGACAUCAUAGAGGGUGAGAAUCCCGUAUUUGGUCAUUCUUUCUAGCUUUGUGAUACACUUUCAACGAGUCGGAUUGUUUGGGAAUGCAGUCCAAAAUGGGUGUAAAUUUCAUCUAAAGCUAAAUAUUGGCGAGAGACCGAUAGCGAACAAGUACCGUGAGGGAAAGAUGAAAAGAACUUUGAAAAGAGAGUUAAACAGUACGUGAAAUUGUCAAAAGGGAAGCGUUUGACACCAGUGUUGUUUUUCCGAAAAUCAGUUAAGAAUGGCCUUAUUUUGAGAGUUUCAUGACCUUAAUAGCUUGUUCCUUAUUUUCAUGUAACUUUCUUAAUGCACUUUUCGGUUAACAAGUCAACAUCAAUUUCUUUUGUUGUAAAAGGGUAUAGAGGAAGGUGGCUUUACUUUCGGAGUAAAGUGUUUAUAGCCUUGUACCUCUGCAAUCGGAGAGAUUGAGGUCUGCAGCGUAGAUCCUUCGGGGUUAGAUACGUUUGUGCUAAGUUAUAGCUUUUCAUAGACAACUUGUUGACUAUGUUAAGUCUUGUAGCUUACUCGCUGACGCUAUUUUACCUACGCUUAGGAUGUUGACUGAUAUGUAGUCGUA
Molecule: ribosomal RNA, 777 nt
Filed under: uncultured Neocallimastigales
Lineage: Eukaryota; Fungi; Neocallimastigomycota; Neocallimastigomycetes; Neocallimastigales
Description: partial large subunit ribosomal RNA
Rfam family: Eukaryotic large subunit ribosomal RNA
Source: RNAcentral